UUGACCUCGGAUCAGGUAGGAAUACCCGCUGAACUUAAGCAUAUCAAUAAGCGGAGGGUUAA
This 62-nucleotide ribosomal RNA is filed under the name Fusarium graminearum. Its description in RNAcentral is "partial 28S ribosomal RNA". Lineage: Eukaryota; Fungi; Ascomycota; Sordariomycetes; Hypocreales; Nectriaceae. The record is from RNAcentral.